ACAUUGACGGUUGAGUGGUAGAAUGCUCGUCUGCCACGCGGGCGACCCGGGUUCGAUUUCCGGCCAGUGCA
Molecule: non-coding RNA, 71 nt
Organism: Angiostrongylus cantonensis (rat lungworm)
Lineage: Eukaryota; Metazoa; Nematoda; Chromadorea; Rhabditida; Metastrongylidae
Source: Rfam